This 441-nucleotide ribosomal RNA is filed under the name uncultured bacterium. RNAcentral's name for it is "partial 16S ribosomal RNA". It matches the Rfam family "Bacterial small subunit ribosomal RNA", at positions 338 to 795 of the family's 1533-position model. The record is from RNAcentral.
CCUACGGGUGGCAGCAGUGGGGGAUAUUGCACAAUGGGGGGAACCCUGAUGCAGCGACGCCGCGUGGGUGAAGGAGCGUUUCGGCGCGUAAAGCCCUAUCGGCAGGGAAGAAGGAGGACGGUACCUGACUAAGAAGCCCCGGCUAACUACGGGCCAGCAGCCGCGGGAAUACGGAGGGGGCAAGCGUGAUCCGGGUUUACUGGGUGUGAAGGGGGCGCAGACGGCAGCGCAAGCCAGGAGUGAAAGCCCGGGGCGCAACCCCGGGACUGCGUUUGGGACUGUGCGGCUGGAGUGCAGGAGGGGCAGGCGGAAGUCCUGGUGUAGCGGUGAAAUGCGUAGAUAUCAGGAGGAACACCGGUGGCGAAGGCGGCCUGCUGGACUGCGACUGACGUUGAGGCCCGAAAGCGUGGGGAGCAAACAGGAUUAGAUACCCCAGUAGUC